UAACAAGGACGUGGUUUGAUGG
Molecule: non-coding RNA, 22 nt
Filed under: Arabidopsis thaliana (thale cress)
Lineage: Eukaryota; Viridiplantae; Streptophyta; Magnoliopsida; Brassicales; Brassicaceae
Source: RNAcentral